Non-coding RNA from Anas platyrhynchos (mallard), 3900 nucleotides. NCBI's taxonomy places the organism in Eukaryota, Metazoa, Chordata, Aves, Anseriformes, Anatidae. The record is from RefSeq and is a predicted model, not a curated record.
UACUGAUUUGCUCCUCCCCUGAGAGGUUUUAAAGCUAUCUGUGCUGUGUCCCAGAGCUGCUGUGGGAGCUGCAACCAUAUUAGUGCCCCAUGUGGGGCUGUCCUGCUGCAGCGCAGCAUGAGGCAGGCACUGGCUGGUCUCAGGUGGGGUUUGUCCCCUCCUGCUGCCAGGGGCAGGAUGUGCUCCAUCAGGCAGGGGACACUGCCUGGGACCCCUUGCCCCUGGUCUCACCAUGGGAUGCUGCCAGGGCUCCUGCUCCUUUUGUGUCCCAGCAGCCAGCUGCCUCGGCUGCCCUUGGUACCGAGGGGAUGCAGUAUGGAAUGAUGGUCCACUAGCGCCAAGUGGUGGCAGUCAAAAAUUUAUGAAAAAUGAGUAUUCCAUGGAUGCAAGGAAAUGCCAUGACCCAGGACCAUGUCAUUGGACUGCUGAUAUCAUGUCAUACAACAGCCCUAUCCAAAAUUGUGAUGGCCAUGUCCUGCUGAGAUCUGCAACUUCAGCCAAGAGCUGGCUGCUGCCAACUGGACCAAGUGGAGUGCCCGUGGCCAGACCUGAGCACACUGCGUGGGCAUGCAGAACCAGUGAAGGUGCUGGGACCAGGCUGCUGAAGUGCCCCAGGCCUUCUCAACCCAGUGAAGCCGCAGGAUGUCCAUGGGGGUGCAAGGCCCUUCCUCAAGUACCAGAGCCAUGGGGAACAAGGUCCGAGACAGCGCAGGAGGUUCCUGGGAACACGAACAGCGGAUGAUCCCUGACAAGGGGCUCUGGAUGAAACCACGCAUCAGCCAUGCAACGUAUGGUGCAUGUCUGCAGCCCCAUUCUGGCUCGGGGAGGAGGGAGAGCAGAGUCCCACGCCCACCAGCCCUCUGACUGGAGUUGGGCACUGCACGCGGGGCCAGGCGGGCACAGCAGGACGCGAGGCAGGGCUGGGCUCGGUGCUGGCAGUGAUGGGCAGGCCAGGCUGUGAUGGCCGCAGUGGGGCCUGCGGGGCAGUCUGCAACGGGGCCACAGCCACGCUCUCACCAUGUUGUUGUGGCGAAGCAGCAAGGUGUUAGAGCUGCCCUUGCCUCCAGCUGUGAUGGAGCGGCAUUGAGAGGCUGCAGGGUGCUGGCUGCGGGGGACCAAAGCGCUAAUCCCCCGAGCCCUGCUGGCAAGGCACAAAGUGCCUGGCACGUGCUGGCCCUGCCCUGCAGCCAGGGCUGUGGGACUGCCCGACCCCAGCCAGGAAACACCCAGUGGUCAGCCCGGUUCAGAACAGCCACCAGAUGAUGGCGAAUUUCAUUGCCAAGCCUAGCUGUACUUGAAAUGCGAAAAUGCAGAAAUGUAAGUGGCGCUGUCAGCUCCCUAAAAAUCACAUUUUCUGCAGUCUGCAAUCCUUGUUCUGCUCCAUAUGUGGAGGGAUUUGUAUGAAAUGUUCCAGGCAGAAAGUGAAAAACUCUGCGGUGUACUGGCACGAUAAUGCUAUCUUGCAUGAAUGCAGUGCUUUCCACUUAAAGUGACUUGCAUAAGUGGAAAUAUUAUCCCCAUUUUGCUGAUGAAGAAACUGAAGCCCAGCGUUUCCUUUGAGUCACAUCCAGUGAGCAGGGACAAAGCCAAGAAUGAAUGUGCUGACACGCAGGAUUUUCCAUUGCCACCAGACAAGUUGUCUCCAUCCAGAAUACUUCAUUCUGACUUUAUAGUCGUCUUCUCCGUGAUUAAAACACCAUCUCCCUAACCAGUGUAUUACUAUACACUAGAAAAAAAAAUAUAUAUUGUCUGAAUUUGCUCCAUUCUGCUCUCCAAAACAUCUCUGAAUGUCCUUAACAUGUUGGGAGAAUUUUCAAGCUUUACCUGCAAUAAUUGGGCACAGCUGGAAAAGGUAAUGUCCAAAAUUAACCGAUGCAACUGAUGUCUGCACUAAAUCUAUGUAUGUGCAGGUCUACAAUACGUGGAAGCCAGCGAAAUGCAGCUCCUGGAAGACUUAUGUUGUCUGUAAGGAAUGAUUAUAGCUUUGGUGAGAACUGUUAACAAUUCAGCAAAAUGACAAGAGACAUAAUUAUCUGAGUUAUUGAUCAAUGCAUAUUAAGAAAGACCUGCAUUCAUAGGUCAUUAUGAAGCAUUAUUGGGGCAACAGAGUGCAUCAAUAAAAUUAAUUUAUUUCUUCACAUGGAUGCUAAAGAAGACUUAGAAAUAUGCCAUGUGCAGAAAGCUGCUUGUGCCAGUAAAAUAUAUUUACAUCUGCUGCAUAUGGAUAGACGGGAUACAGGCCAAGUAUGCGAUGGUGGGAAGCAGCUUGCUGCUUCUGUUUUGGGAAAGUUCAUCACGGUUGAAAUUUUGGACAAAUGUGAUUCUGAAUCAAACUAGAGAGAGAGCAGUAGAUGAGCUCAAAACUUCAGCUGCUCCAGAAACUCCAUUCAGAAUAACAUACUAUCUCACGUGCCUUAUCUUUCUGUCAAAGUUUUGAAGACAUUUUCUGGUUGCUGAUGGGAGUAGGGAAGAAGAGAGAACCCCACAAUGAAGCAGAGAAAAACAUUCAUAGUCUGCUUCAGUCAGGUUUUCAACUUUAGAAAACGGUGGGUGUGGAGUAGGUGCAUCUUUGGAUACAACGCUGAAAAAAAAAUUAAGAAUGCAUGAAAGUUGAACCACGCCAGUGGUGAACCUGUCCUUGCAUACUGGUUUGUGCCUAAAUUCAACAACUCAACACAGACUAUAGGCGAAUCCAAGAAGAGUUUCUGGGCAAAGCAUGAGGCCUGGAGGUAAGGAUAUGGACAUGCCCACUUCUCCCUGCACCACGCAGAGGUUGUGCUGCCCUUCCCAGCUGGGGCUGCUGCUGCAGUCCUCCUGAACCACCUGCAGUAUUCAUGAAGAAACCUGAACAUAGGAGGGAGGAAGCCAGGGAGGACUUCCCAAUUGCUGUGCCAAUAGUUUGUUGAUUUGUAAUUGUUAAAUACUGAGAGCUGUCAAAAAUGGUAUCAGGUGCUUUCAGGAGAGGCUGCUCAUGAGCAAGGCCUGCACUAAUCUGACCGCGCUGUGCCCAUUUAUCGCUGUUUGCUGUGAAUGAAAGACCUGCUCACACGCAGGGAUGGCAUGGGUGUGUGUUAACCUGCUGCUCAGCAUUGCUGCUGGUGUCAUGCACCAUGGGGACACCUGCGGCACGUCUGCGUAUCGUCCCUGAGGCAGCAUGCCCAUGGCACCUGCCCCGCAGGCAGCACGCCUGCCUCCUCACAAAGCCAAGGACACGUACUUAUCCCUUUGCUUCCACUGGCCAGGAGGCCUCCGAUCCUAACACAGUGCACCCCACGAAGAUGCUACCACAAGUCCUUGUUCCUUUGGGCGUUCCUGUAGGUUCCCCCACGGCACACACUGCUGGCCUGCUGGUUCUCCUGCAGCUAUUUUCCUUUAAGCUGGGUACUGCAGCAAGCACAGCCAGUGGCAGCUCUGCGUGGUAGAUUACAAGCACUGAAGAUUAUGCAAAUCUGAAAUAAUGUUUUCCUGGCAGUCUAAGGGCAAACCAAAUAUUUAUGGGACAUUUCAUUAACAAUGGACUGUGCGUGAGAGAAAAGAAUGGUCUCCACCAUCUCACAAGCACCAUCUCUGCUCCUGCUGGUGGAUGCCAGAAGAGAAAGCUUCCAGAAGAAUUCCCAGAUGCAGAGGAGGUUGCUGGUGUUUGGGCAGAUACACAAAGUGGCAAACAGACGGCGUGUGCCUAAAACUCAGUGACUCCCAUGAAGUAAAACUACAGCAAGCUCCAUGGUGAUUUGCAGAGGUAAAUACAUAUUUCACGAGUAAAAUGCAAAUGUGCCUUGUGUAGUCCCCCAAAGUGCACGCUCCUGCUGCUGUCACUUGUUUGUGUCUAUCCAAUUUUGGAUUAUGUUUGCCUCUCAAAUUUAAUAAUUUUGACAAGUUAAUUUCAGCUUGUUCUUGACA